GGCAACUCUAAGUCAGUGGCGAACGGGUGCGUAACACGUGAGAAAUCUAACUUCCGGCGGGGGAUAGCCGGCCCAACGGCCGGGUAAUACCGCAUAUACUCUUCGAGGGGCAUCCCUUGGGGAGGAAAGCAGCAAUGCACCGGAAGGGGAUCUCGCGGCCUAUCAGCUAGUUGGUGAGGUAACGGCUCACCAAGGCGACGACGGGUAGCUGGUCUGAGAGGAUGGCCAGCCACAUUGGGACUGAGACACGGCCCAGACUCCUACGGGAGGCAGCAGUGGGGAAUCUUGCGCAAUGGGCGAAAGCCUGACGCAGCGACGCCGCGUGUGGGAUGAAGGCCUUCGGGUUGUAAACCACUGUCGGGAGGGACGAAUUCAUGACGGUACCUCCAAAGGAAGCACCGGCUAACUCCGUGCCAGCAGCCGCGGUAAUACGGAGGGUGCGAGCGUUGUCCGGAAUCACUGGGCGUAAAGGGCGCGUAGGCGGCCUGAUAAGUAGGGGGUGAAAUCCUGCGGCUCAACCGCAGGGCU
Molecule: ribosomal RNA, 528 nt
Filed under: uncultured bacterium
Lineage: Bacteria
Description: bacterial SSU rRNA
Rfam family: Bacterial small subunit ribosomal RNA
Source: RNAcentral